RNAcentral lists this ribosomal RNA (545 nucleotides) under Salmonella enterica subsp. enterica serovar Newport. RNAcentral describes it as "partial 23S ribosomal RNA". It matches the Rfam family "Bacterial large subunit ribosomal RNA", at positions 1213 to 1757 of the family's 2925-position model. The record is from RNAcentral. Lineage: Bacteria; Pseudomonadati; Pseudomonadota; Gammaproteobacteria; Enterobacterales; Enterobacteriaceae.
ACUGUGUGUUGUUGGGUAGGGGAGCGUUCUGUAAGCCUGUGAAGGUGGCCUGUGAGGGUUGCUGGAGGUAUCAGAAGUGCGAAUGCUGACAUAAGUAACGAUAAAGCGGGUGAAAAGCCCGCUCGCCGGAAGACCAAGGGUUCCUGUCCAACGUUAAUCGGGGCAGGGUGAGUCGACCCCUAAGGCGAGGCCGAAAGGCGUAGUCGAUGGGAAACAGGUUAAUAUUCCUGUACUUGGUGUUACUGCGAAGGGGGGACGGAGAAGGCUAUGUUGGCCGGGCGACGGUUGUCCCGGUUUAAGCGUGUAGGUGUGUGUUCCAGGUAAAUCCGGUUCACUUUAACACUGAGGCGUGAUGACGAGGCACUACGGUGCUGAAGCAACAAAUGCCCUGCUUCCAGGAAAAGCCUCUAAGCAUCAGGUAACAUCAAAUCGUACCCCAAACCGACACAGGUGGUCAGGUAGAGAAUACCAAGGCGCUUGAGAGAACUCGGGUGAAGGAACUAGGCAAAAUGGUGCCGUAACUUCGGGAGAAGGCACGCUGACAC